CACAAUUUUUUAUUUACGUCAGUAAUCAUAAUCUUGACAUAAAAGUUCAUAGUACCAUGUGGUCUUCUAUAUAAGCAGAGGGUAACAAUGACUUUGAAAAGUCAUAAGGUCGAAGAUCAAGUUCAUGUCCUUGAUCGUAGUUGUUUUAUUUUUGACUCUAGUUGAAUGGUUUUAUGUUUAUUUUAAAGCUUUUAAAUGCAUUUUACGUGUAUCUACAUGGUUUUUUUUUCGAUAUAAAGAAGUUCACUAUAUAAAUAACACAUAGAUGAGAAGGUGAUAGAGCAGAUUGUUUCACCAAUAAACAUUGUCAGCUCAGACUCAUUUUGCAUUUUGACUGGAAAUAUAAUAAAACUAUUAUUAUUUAUAUUUGUGUUUAGUCAUUUUGUGUUUUAUGUUGAUCUGAUGAAAUAAACCUUUU
Molecule: long non-coding RNA, 418 nt
Filed under: Mytilus galloprovincialis (Mediterranean mussel)
Lineage: Eukaryota; Metazoa; Mollusca; Bivalvia; Mytilida; Mytilidae
Source: RNAcentral